AAACAGAAGUAAAGGCAGUAGAUCAGAAAGGUGAAAACUUACCUGUGAACAACCAUCAAGUUGCAGAUUUAGAAGAGAUGAACAUUCAAGGACAACAUCUGGUUUCACCACUUGCAGCUAGUGAGCAUUCAGAUAAUAUUGACAGAUCUUCACCACCAAAUGUUAAUUCAGGAGAAAAUGAAAAGAUUUUGGAGAAUUCAUGGUUAAAGAUCAAGAGGGUUGAAGAUGAAGAUACAUGAAGCUUUUUACUUUGUGUAAUUAACUCGAAAAAUAUUUUGUAAUGAAAGUACAUAAAUAGUGUAAACCUCUUAUAUUUUGUUAUUACUCAAAAAACAUUGCACUUUAACUCAUAACAUGUCAAUAAAGGUCAAUGAAAUUGAAUUUA
Molecule: long non-coding RNA, 385 nt
Organism: Dioscorea cayenensis subsp. rotundata (Guinea yam)
Lineage: Eukaryota; Viridiplantae; Streptophyta; Magnoliopsida; Dioscoreales; Dioscoreaceae
Exons: 4
Source: RefSeq, a predicted model, not a curated record